UACGUAGGUGGCAAGCGUUGUCCGGAAUUAUUGGGCGUAAAGCGUGCGCAGGCGGUUUUGUAAGCCAGAUGUGAAAUCCCCGGGCUUAACCUGGGAAUGGCAUUUGGGACUGCAAGGCUGGAGUUUGGCAGAGGAGACUGGAAUUCCCGGUGUAGCAGUGAAAUGCGUAGAUAUCGGGAGGAAUACCGAUGGCGAAGGCAGGUCUCUGGGCUAUAACUGACGCUCAUGCACGAAAGCGUGGGGAGCAAACAGG
This 253-nucleotide ribosomal RNA is filed under the name uncultured bacterium. RNAcentral's name for it is "partial 16S ribosomal RNA". It matches the Rfam family "Bacterial small subunit ribosomal RNA", at positions 524 to 776 of the family's 1533-position model. The record is from RNAcentral.